GUCCAGGGAUGGGAAUCGAACCCACAAUGUUCCGAUUACCGGGCAGAUGCCAUGUCCACUAAGCUACCCUGGA
Molecule: transfer RNA, 73 nt
Filed under: Cordylochernes scorpioides
Lineage: Eukaryota; Metazoa; Arthropoda; Arachnida; Pseudoscorpiones; Chernetidae
Description: tRNA-Thr
Source: RNAcentral